RNAcentral lists this long non-coding RNA (1820 nucleotides) under Triticum aestivum (bread wheat). Its description in RNAcentral is "long non-coding RNA (TAES_LNC002216)". Lineage: Eukaryota; Viridiplantae; Streptophyta; Magnoliopsida; Poales; Poaceae. The record is from RNAcentral.
GAAAAGACUAAAUUACUUUUAAUGAAUAUUUCAAUCAUAAACCCACAAUUCAUCAGAUCCCAACAAACACACCGCAAAAGAAGAUUACAUCGAAUCGAUCUCCAAAAAGAAUAUUCUAUUAAAGAUCAAAGAGAGAGAAAAAGUCAUCUCCCUAAUCACUAUGGACCAGUAGGUCUGUGGUGAACUAUUCACGCAUCAUCGGAAGGGUACUAAAGUUGAUGUAGAAUCCCUCCAUGAUCGAUUCCCACUCUGGCAGAGUACCAGAAAAGGCCUCCAGAUGGGAUCACGAAAGAACAUAAGCUUGCGGCGGCGAAAAAUUGUUUCAGGUGACUCUCCGUUGGUUUUGGGAUUUAUGAGAAAUUAUAGGCUUGGAAUUAGGUUAAAUGGAGCUGCAUGGGCCCCACAAGCUCAGGUGGCGCCCCCGGGGUGCGUUGUGUAAGCUUGUGGCCCUCCCAUAGAUCGUCUGGUCUCCUCCCGAAGCUUCUAGGGUCACUUAUAGUCCAGGAAAAAAUCACUGUAAAGUUUCAUCGUGCUUAGACUUCGUUUGGUAUUGAUUUUCUGAAAAACAAAAAACAUGCAGGAAACAUGACUUUGCACUGGGCAUUGAGUUAACAGGUUAGUUCCCAAAAAUAAAAUAAAACUGCAUAUAAAGCAUCCAAGAUUCAUAAUAUAAUAGCAUGAAGCAAUAAAAAAUUAUAGAUACAUUAGAGAUGAAUCAACCGCCGAUGCAUCGCCACCUAGCACAGCUGGUGACUUGCUCGGUUCAGCGCUGCCCAUCGUCCACCCUCACCUCGGCUUCACGGAAGCGGAGGAGCCCACCUUCCUCUCUGGCUGAAGCACCCUCUUUGCCACUCCAAUGAGAGGCAUAGCCGGACAUAUGAAAAGAUACGAGGGAAGAAUAUACCUCCGAAGCUCCCGGUAGCCCACUCAGGCUGCCGGACAUGGGAAAAACAAAGGGACCUAGCGCAGCCGGCCGUAGACUAGUUUAGUGUGUCUGUGUCAUGUGAAUGGGGCUCCGCGCGGUCGAACGUGCACAUUGUUUUAUAAUAUUUAGUUAAAAUAUGUCCAAAAUGUAAAUGUUUACUUCCGGUUUGUAUGAAAUCCGUUGUGUUUGCAUGAAUUUCAUUAGGUUUGUUAAAUAACUGUUUGAAAUGUAUGCGGGUAGCGUUGGAUGGCUGGCUUCGGCAUCCAUGUCCGCAGACUGACCCCCCAUGUCUGCGGAUGGAUGCUAGAGCAAAUUUGUGGGUCAGCAUUGGAGAUGCCUUAAGUGGGAUAUUGUUCGUCGGCUAACCAACCAUGGAGGGUUGGGUAUCCUAGAUCUAGAUAAAUUUGCAACGGCCCUUCAUUUGAGAUGGUCAUGGUAUGAGUGGAUUGACCUGAUGAGAUCUUGGGUUGGUCUUGAAAGCCCAUGCAUCGAGAAGGACAUGGACCUUUUCUACGCGCUGACAUUAAUAAAUCUUGGAAGAAUGACAAAAUUUUGGCACACGCCAUGGCUUGGGGGCCGCAAGCCAAAGGAUAUCUCCCCAACCAUUUUCGUAAUAUCAAAGUCUACUAAUGAGAAUAUUAAGAGCGCCAUAUCGGGCGAGGCUUGGAUAAGAAAUGUAAAGACCGUAGUCUGUUGGUGGGAAAACUUGCCUUGGCAUAUCAUGCUCAGUUUGAAGGUAUGGUGACGACGUCCACGAGACCGGUCAUUUGGACAGUCAACCUUGUUGGAGGGACUCAGAGACUGCUGGCUAGCUGCCUCAAGAGGAGAGGUUGGCCAAUUGUGUAGGCUUUGUCAAUUUUGUAAGAGAAAGUCAGGGACUACUGGCUAGCUGCCU